RNAcentral lists this ribosomal RNA (449 nucleotides) under uncultured prokaryote. Its description in RNAcentral is "bacterial SSU rRNA". It matches the Rfam family "Bacterial small subunit ribosomal RNA", at positions 355 to 796 of the family's 1533-position model. The record is from RNAcentral.
UAGGGAAUCUUGGGCAAUGGGCGCAAGCCUGACCCAGCCAUGCCGCGUGUGUGAAGAAGGCCUUCGGGUUGUAAAGCACUUUCAGUAGCGAAGAAAAGCACGAGGUUAAUACCCUCGUGUCAUGACGUUAGCUACAGAAGAAGGUCCGGCUAACUCCGUGCCAGCAGCCGCGGUAAUACGGAGGGAUCGAACGUUAAUCGGAAUUACUGGGCGUAAAGCGCGCGUAGGCGGUUCGGUAAGUGGGAUGUGAAAUCCCCGGGCUCAACCUGGGAACUGCAUUCCAAACUGCCGAGCUAGAGUCUGGUAGAGGGAGGUAGAAUUUCCUGUGUAGCGGUGAAAUGCGUAGAUAUAGGAAGGAAUACCGAUGGCGAAGGCAGCCUCCUGGACCAAUACUGACGCUGAGGUGCGAAAGCGUGGGGAGCAAACAGGAUUAGAUACCCCCGUAGUCC